GCCCGAGUUAGCUCAAUCGGUUAGAGCGUGAGGCUCUUAAUCUCAGGGUCCUGGGUUCGAGCCCCACGUUUGGGCG
Molecule: non-coding RNA, 76 nt
Organism: Polyodon spathula (Mississippi paddlefish)
Lineage: Eukaryota; Metazoa; Chordata; Actinopteri; Acipenseriformes; Polyodontidae
Source: the annotation of a RefSeq genome assembly